RNAcentral lists this long non-coding RNA (1275 nucleotides) under Papio anubis (olive baboon). Its description in RNAcentral is "lncRNA (ENSPANG00000038319.1)". The record is from RNAcentral. Lineage: Eukaryota; Metazoa; Chordata; Mammalia; Primates; Cercopithecidae.
AUGAGCCGCAGGGGCCCGAGGCCCACGCACGUCCACAGUCUCCGUCAGCCUCCCCUCCAUACUCCACCCCAGAGCCUGAGGGGGCCCCGGGGAAGGCACCACGGUCUGGCCGAGCCCCUUCCCCCGAGGGCGUGGCAGCCAGUGGUGCUAACGGGCUGGCCAGUCCUCAGCGGGAUGCCGACCGUUCAGCGCCCCGCCCAGAACGCAGCCAUGGGGAGCCGGGCGACCAUCUGUCCUAAGGCCCCUGCCUGGCUCUGGCCCAACCUCACCGAGGGUCCCUGUGACACACACUCUCAAGACACGUGGGUGCCCUUGCCAGCACUUGCCUCCAACACCUGGGAGCACCCUGUGGUGGGGACCCCAUCUGCAGGCUACAGUGGAGGUCUGUGCGGUUCACAGCAAGGCCAGGGACAAGGGCUAACCAGGGAGACCAGCUUCCUGGAACACAGCCACCAGGGCACAAACUUCCAGCAGGGGCCUCGCCCAGGAAUCUGCCACCUGCCCUGGGUCCAAGGGGGGAUGAGGGCACCCGCCUCCCACCUUCCUCCUUCCCGGACACGAGGCCUCUGCUACCCUCGUGCACUGGACACCCCAGAGGCCGCCACCUCUUUAAACCACGUGGCACCUCUGGGUAGCACCUACACAAAGCCCAAUAUACUUCUGAGAAAGGAGGAAGGAAGGAGGAAGGAAGAAGGGAGGAAGGAGGAAGGGAGAAAGGAGGAAGGAAGGAGGAAGGAGAAAGGGAGAAAGGAGGAAGGGAGAAAGGAGGAAGGAAGGAGGAAGGAGAAAGGGAGGAAGGAGGAAGGAGAAAGGGAGAAAGGAAGGAAGAAGGAGAAAGGAGACAGGGAGAAAGAAAGGAGGAAGGGAGGAAGGAGAAAGGAGGAAGAGGGAAGGGAGAAAAGGAGGAAGGAUGAAGGAGAAAGGAGGAAGGAAGGGAGAAAGGGAGGAAGGAGAAAGGAGGAAGGAGGAAGGAGAAAGGGAGGAAGGAGGAAGGAGGAAGGAGGAAGGAGGAAGGAGACAGGGAGGAAGGAGGAAGAGGAAGGGAGAAGGAGGACGGAGGGAAGGAGGAGGAAGGGAGAAAGGGAGGAAGGAGAAAGGGAGGAAGGAGGAAAGGAGGAAGGAGGAAGGGAGGAAGGAGACGGAGGGAAGGAGGGAAGGAGGGAGGAAGGAGACAGGGAGGAAGGAGACAGGAGGAAGGAGGAAGGAGGAUGCAAUGAUGAAAGACAUUUUAUUUCUACCAAACAUUUUAUUUGGCACGAUGAAAUUUAUCGAUGA